This 237-nucleotide ribosomal RNA is filed under the name uncultured bacterium. RNAcentral describes it as "partial 16S ribosomal RNA". It matches the Rfam family "Bacterial small subunit ribosomal RNA", at positions 100 to 334 of the family's 1533-position model. The record is from RNAcentral.
CCGGCACGGGUGAGUAACACGUAUCCAACCUGCCGUCUACUCUUGGACAGCCUUCUGAAAGGAAGAUUAAUACAAGAUGGCAUCAUGAGUUCACAUGUUCACAUGAUUAAAGGUAUUCCGGUAGACGAUGGGGAUGCGUUCUAUUAGAUAGUAGGCGGGGUAACGGCCCACCUAGUCUUCGAUGGAUAGGGGUUCUGAGAGGAAGGUCCCCCACAUUGGAACUGAGACACGGUCCAA